GACGAACGCUGGCGGCGUGCUUAACACAUGCAAGUCGAACGGAAAGGCCCUGCUUUUGUUGGGUGCUCGAUUGGCGAACGGGUGAGUAACACGUGAGUAACCUGCCCUUGACUUUGGGAUAACUUCAGGAAACUGGGGCUAAUACCGGAUAGGAGCUCCUGCUGCAUGUUGUGGGUUGGAAAGUUUCGGCGGUUGGGGAUGGACUCGCGGCUUAUCAGCUGGUUGGGGGGGUAGUUGCUUACCAAGGGUUUGACGGGUAGCCGGCCUGAGAGGGUGACCGGCCACAUUGGGACUGAGGUACGGCCCAGACUCCUACGGGAGGCAGUAGGGGGGAAUAUUGCACAAUGGGCGGAAGCCUGAUGCAGCAACGCCGCGUGCGGGAUGACGGCCUUCGGGUUGUAAACCGCUUUCGACUGUGACGAAGAGUGAGUGACGGUAAUGGGUAAAGAAGCACCGGCUAACUACGUG
RNAcentral lists this ribosomal RNA (468 nucleotides) under uncultured bacterium. RNAcentral's name for it is "partial 16S ribosomal RNA". It matches the Rfam family "Bacterial small subunit ribosomal RNA", at positions 28 to 507 of the family's 1533-position model. The record is from RNAcentral.